CCUGUGUCCCCUACCUCAGCAGGUGGACUCAUCCACUGCACCUGAAGGGAAGUCUUAUACUUACCUUUGAAUAACAGCAUUUGGGAGAAGGGGAAUGCAAGUGACCUAGACUGGUUCACAGAUGUUCAAAUUCUUGCCCUACAGGUGGAGGCCAGGAGCGGAUGGACCUGGAGUUCUAUGUGCUUGGGCUUGGUCUGGAUGGGCCACUGCUGCUCUUGGACUACCAAGGAUGCACCAAGGAAGAUGAUCAACAGGCACCCAGGAAGGAUGCUGUCUUCAGAUAUAAGACUCCAGUAAUCCAAGACUAUGCCCCAGCCACAAAUGACGAAGAAGCUGAAGUUGAACAGUUCUAUGAGACCUACAAGACCUUCUAGAAAUAACACCAACAAUAGUUGUCGUUUUCAUCAUAAGGGACUGGAAUGCAAAAGUAGAAAGUCAAGAGAUACCUGGCAUAACAGGUGAGUUUGGCCUUGGUGUACAAAAUGAGGCAGGCAGAGGCUAUCAGAGUUUUGCCAAGAGAACCCAUAGCAACACCCUCUUCCAAAACACAAGAGAAGACUUUACACAUGGACAUCACCAGUUGAUCAAUACUGGAAUCAAAUUGAUUAUAUUCUUUGCAACUGAAGGUGGAGAUGAUUUAUAUAGUCAGCAAAAACAAGACUGGGAGAUGACUGUGGCUUAGAUCAUGAACUCCUUAUUGCUAAAUUCAGACUUAAAUUGAAGAAAGUAGGGAAACCCACCAGACUAGUCAGAUCAUAUCAGAUCAGAUCAGUUGCUCAGUCGUGUCCGACUCUUUGCGACCCCAUGAAUCGCAGCACGCCAGGCCUCCCUGUCCAUCACCAACUCCUGGAGUUCACUCAGACUCACGUCCAUCGAGUCAGUGAUACCAUCCAGCCAUCUCAUCCUCUGUCGUCCCCUUCUCCUCCUGCCCCCAAUCCCUCCCAGCAUCAGAGUCUUUU
Molecule: long non-coding RNA, 959 nt
Filed under: Bos indicus x Bos taurus (hybrid cattle)
Lineage: Eukaryota; Metazoa; Chordata; Mammalia; Artiodactyla; Bovidae
Description: lncRNA (ENSBIXG00005025950.1)
Source: RNAcentral